Molecule: transfer RNA, 62 nt
Filed under: Scherotheca trezencensis
Lineage: Eukaryota; Metazoa; Annelida; Clitellata; Crassiclitellata; Lumbricidae
Description: tRNA-Ala
Source: RNAcentral
UGCAACUUAGUUUAAUUAGAACUACCAACUUGCACUUGGGGGGAGAGAUGUCUCAGUAGCGG